Molecule: long non-coding RNA, 1536 nt
Filed under: Oryza brachyantha (malo sina)
Lineage: Eukaryota; Viridiplantae; Streptophyta; Magnoliopsida; Poales; Poaceae
Description: long non-coding RNA (OBRA_LNC002855)
Source: RNAcentral
GUGAAUCCAGCGCUGCUGAGGAAAAGAGCGGAAGCAGCAGCGCCGACGACCGUGCAUGCCCGCAUGGCGGCGUCAGCUUCUUGGCGCAGGGGCGCGCCCGCGUAGGCAAGCCCCCCCCGCCGGUGACUGCUACUUGCUGGUGAUUUCUUCUAUCCGUAAACCAUAUCGAAUAAAUUUCGUUGAUUGCAAUUCAGGGAUUUUGAUCUAGGGUUUCAUGUUUGUGGGGCAAUUUUGGGGAUUUUUUUCAAAAUUAGGGUUUCACAGCUGAGAAUUUUGUUUGACGAAUUUUACACAAAAUAAAUUUGAGUCCUACUGAUGCUAGUACUGAUUGAAAUAAAAAAAGACACAAAUAAAAUAGGAAUUGAAACUUUAAAUAGUGCAUGAAUAGUGCUAAACAUUAAACAUGAACCCUAAAAUAAAACUCUUCGGAAUUAUAACUGUUUGCACAAAAUUAAAUCAAUCUGAAUCUUAUGUGGCUUCUCUUAGGGAUGAUGGGACCAAGUAAGGCCAAGUUUGCUCUAAUACCACAAUGUUGGGUCAUCUGAUCCAACGUCAAUUUCUAAUCUUAGCCUCAUAUUGAUCACCUCCGCUAAUGCGGAAUUAAUUUGAUCUACUGACUUGGUUGAGAAGUCAUUGCAAUUGAAUCGAUCCUCCUGCUCUAUUUUCUUCUCUCCUUUUCUCCGAUCUUUCUGGCAACUUGAUGUGGGCAUUGGCGACCUUCGUCUCCGACGAGCUAAUCACUUCUAAACCUGCAGCCUUCUUUUGAGAUCAUGUCAAAAACCCUUCUAGUGUCCCUCUAUUUAUAUGGCACUGAUGGGGCUCGGGGUAAUCUCAAAUUUUGUAGGGAGUUUUGAUUCUACCGAUCACCGAAACAAACUCCUAUUCUAUCUCUUCUUUUCUUGUUAGAUUAGAAUAUGAAUUUCUUGUUUGACUAGGACACGGGAAAACCAGUUAUAGUGGAUUCCAAUUUUUUUAAACCGGCCUUUAUCUUUAAGUUUCUUUUAUCCGAUGUCUAACCAAAUAAAUCAACCAACACAACGAUGAGACAAGUGUGUGGUAUGUUGAUGCAGGACACUCGCCAUGGCUAACAGAGAACUCGGAGGAGUCGAUGGCUGGGCGGCGGCCUGAUCUACGAUGGCAGCCGGCAGGUGGCCUAAGGCCUGUGGCCACUGGCCGCUGGCUAGGUAGGAGGAUGCCCGAGGUUGUAGGGUGUGGCCGCAUGGGAGGUGGCUGGCUUCUGGAGUACGGCGGACGGGAGGAGUCCUGAGGGUGGUGGCUGACGAGACGAUGCCUGAGGGCGGGGAUGGAUGGGAGGAGAUCGAAGGGCGGCGGCAGAUGGGAUGAGUUCUGAGGAUGGUAGUGGUUGGGAGAAGGCCCAGUGGUAGGCGGGUAAUGUUUUUGGAAGAGUAAAGGAUAUUUUCAUGUUUGUUUGGUUGGAUUCCCACCGGAAGCUACCUUUUCCAUGAUUCUCCAUUCAUAUGUAAAAGGAUAUAACUCUGUCAACGAUCUAGAUUGGCAAUAAAACUACAGUAUGGC